AAUGAACGUUGGCGGCGUGGAUUAGGCAUGCAAGUCGAGCGAGAACCGUAGCAAUACGGGGACAGCGGCGAAAGGGACAGUAAUAUGUAGAUCAUCUGCCCUCGGGAUCGGGAUAGCUGCGGGAAACUGCAGGUAAUACCGAAUAACAUCUCCGGAUCAAAUGGUGUGAUUCCGCCUGAGGAUGAGUCUGCAUCCUAUUAGCUAGUUGGUGGGGUAACGGCCUACCAAGGCAUUGAUGGGUAGCGGGUGUGAGAGCACGACCCGCGUCACUGGGACUGAGACACUGCCCAGACACCUACGGGUGGCUG
This 308-nucleotide ribosomal RNA is filed under the name uncultured Planctomycetota bacterium. RNAcentral's name for it is "bacterial SSU rRNA". It matches the Rfam family "Bacterial small subunit ribosomal RNA", at positions 29 to 351 of the family's 1533-position model. The record is from RNAcentral. Lineage: Bacteria; Pseudomonadati; Planctomycetota.